GUAGGAGCCGAGCUUGCUCGCGAUGGCGUCGUGUCAGUCGAUAUUAAAUUGGGCUGACACACCGCCAUCGCGAGCAAGCUCGGCUCCUAC
Molecule: non-coding RNA, 90 nt
Filed under: Pseudomonas sp. OV226
Lineage: Bacteria; Pseudomonadati; Pseudomonadota; Gammaproteobacteria; Pseudomonadales; Pseudomonadaceae
Source: RNAcentral